This 390-nucleotide unclassified non-coding RNA is filed under the name Zea mays. RNAcentral describes it as "misc RNA Zm00001eb192240". Lineage: Eukaryota; Viridiplantae; Streptophyta; Magnoliopsida; Poales; Poaceae. The record is from RNAcentral.
UACUUUACAGUCAGCACUCACUCAGCAACGUGGCAAUGGCGCCGCGCAGUCACUCACUGCCUCACUGGCCUUCGUCCAGGAGCACUCGGAGGCUGUGAAGCCCCUCGGCCGAUAUGCUCGGCGCGACCCUGCUGCCCGUACUCCUGCUCGCUCGGCCCCCCUGGGCCCUGGGAGGCGCGUCCCGGUGGAACGCGACCAGCACCGCCGUCAGGUUGUCCCUGGCGCCCCGCCGCAGCGCCUCGUCCACGACCUCCCUGCAGCACAGCCGCGGGUCGUUGUGGUCCUGGAGGCGCCGCCGCGCCAAGUCACACGGCGUUCUGGCUCGAGAAGGAGUCCCACACGCCGUCGCUGCCGAUGAUCAGGAACUCGUCGUCCUUGCUCAGCGUGACC